UACGUAGGGCGCAAGCGUUGUCCGGAAUUACUGGGCGUAAAGCGCACGCAGGCGGUCUGCUAAGUUUGGAGUGACAGUUGGUGGCUUAACUGCCAAAGUGCUUCGAAAACUGACAGACUUGAGGGCUUCAGAGGGACACGGAAUUCCGGGUGGAGUGGUGAAAUGCGUAGAGAUCCGGAGGAACACCAAAGGCGAAGGCAGUGUCCUGGGGAGUACCUGACGCUCAGGUGCGAAAGCCAGGGGAGCGAACGGG
This 253-nucleotide ribosomal RNA is filed under the name uncultured bacterium. Its description in RNAcentral is "partial 16S ribosomal RNA". It matches the Rfam family "Bacterial small subunit ribosomal RNA", at positions 524 to 776 of the family's 1533-position model. The record is from RNAcentral.